UACGUGGCAUACGGCUCAGUAACACGUAGUCAACAUGCCCAGGGGACGUGGAUAACCUCGGGAAACUGAGGAUAAACCGCGAUAGGCCAAGAUUUCUGGAAUGGAUCAUGGCUUAAAUCUAUAUGGCCCCUGGAUUGGACUGCGGCCGAUCAGGCUGUUGGUGAGGUAAUGGCCCACCAAACCUGUAACCGGUACGGGCUCUGAGAGGAGGAGCCCGGAGAUGGGCACUUAGACAAGGGCCCAGGCCCUAUGGGGCGCAGCAGGCGCGAAACCUCUGCAAUAAGCGAAAGCUUGACAGGGUUACUCUGAGUGAUUUCCGCUAAGGAAGUCUUUUGGCACCUGUAAAAAUGGUGCAGAAUAAGGGGUGGGCAAGUCUGGUGUCAGCCGCCGCGGUAAUACCAGCACCCCGAGUGGUCGGGACGAUUAUUGGGCCUAAAGCAUCCGUAGCCGGUCCUGCAAGUCCUCCGUUAAAUCCACCCGCUCAACGGUUGGGCCGCGGGGGAUACUACAGGGCUAGGAGGCGGGAGAGGCAAGCGGUACUCGAUGGGUAGGGGUAAAAUCCACUGAUCCAUUGAAGACCACCAGUGGCGAAGGCGGCUUGCCAGAACGCGCUCGACGGUGAGGGAUGAAAGCUGGGGGA
This 640-nucleotide ribosomal RNA is filed under the name uncultured Nitrososphaerota archaeon. Its description in RNAcentral is "bacterial SSU rRNA". It matches the Rfam family "Archaeal small subunit ribosomal RNA", at positions 75 to 718 of the family's 1478-position model. The record is from RNAcentral. Lineage: Archaea; Thermoproteati; Nitrososphaerota.